This 496-nucleotide ribosomal RNA is filed under the name uncultured bacterium. RNAcentral describes it as "partial 16S ribosomal RNA". It matches the Rfam family "Bacterial small subunit ribosomal RNA", at positions 28 to 506 of the family's 1533-position model. The record is from RNAcentral.
GAUGAACGCUGGCGGCGUGCCUAAUACAUGCAAGUCGAGCGAACAGACGAGGAGCUUGCUCCUCUGACGUUAGCGGCGGACGGGUGAGUAACACGUGGAUAACCUACCUAUAAGACUGGGAUAACUUCGGGAAACCGGAGCUAAUACCGGAUAAUAUAUUGAACCGCAUGGUUCAAUAGUGAAAGACGGUUUUGCUGUCACUUAUAGAUGGAUCCGCGCCGCAUUAGCUAGUUGGUAAGGUAACGGCUUACCAAGGCAACGAUGCGUAGCCGACCUGAGAGGGGGAUGGGCCCCACUGGAACUGAGACCCGGUCCCACCCCCUACGGGGGGCAGCAGUGGGGAAUCUUCCGCAAUGGGCGAAAGCCUGACGGGGCAACGCCGCGUGAGUGAUGAAGGUUUUCGGUUCGUAAAACUCUUUUUUUAGGGAAGAACAAAUUUGUAAGUAACUAUGCCCGUCUUGGCGGUACCUAAUCAGAAAGCCCCGGCUAACUACGU